Molecule: non-coding RNA, 158 nt
Organism: Glycine soja
Lineage: Eukaryota; Viridiplantae; Streptophyta; Magnoliopsida; Fabales; Fabaceae
Source: Rfam
CCUUUAAGUGAUGACGUGACAGACGGAGUGCCAUGUCAUCAUGCCUUGUCAUCGAUACCUCAUUGUCAUGUCAACACCCUCAAUGACGUGUCACUGACGUGUUAGUGAUUGGAUGUGAUGAUGUGACACUCCAUCUGUCACGUCAUCACUUAACGGAA